This 253-nucleotide ribosomal RNA is filed under the name uncultured bacterium. RNAcentral's name for it is "partial 16S ribosomal RNA". It matches the Rfam family "Bacterial small subunit ribosomal RNA", at positions 77 to 314 of the family's 1533-position model. The record is from RNAcentral.
CCUUCGGGUGACGAGUACAGUGGCGAACGGGUGAGCAACACGUGGGCAACCUGCCCCAGGCAUGGAAAGUAACACUUCCAACGAAGUGCUAAUACCGAAUGACAAGGCGAGUUGAUGACUCGUUUUUAAAGGUGGCCUCUACUUGCUAAGCUGCCGCCUAAGGAUGGGCCCGCGUCGUAUUAGCUUGUUGGUAGGGUAACGGCCUACCAAGGCGACGAUGCGUAGCCGGCCUGAGAGGGUGAACGGCCACACU